ACUUAGUAUAUUUUCAUGGUACUAAUUAGCAUCUUUUCAUUUUCAGUUUGAAGAACUCCUUUCAGCAUUUCUUAUGAGGUAGUUUUAAUGGUGAUGAACUGCCUUAGUUUUUGUUUGCCUGAGAAAAUCUCGAUUUCUCCAUUUCUAAAGGACAGUUUAGCCAGCUUGUGUAUUCUUGGUUGGCAACUUUUUUUUUCAGCACUUUGUUUUUUUAACUGUUUAUUUAUUGAGAGAGAGAGCACAGGCAGGGGAGGGGCAGAGAGAGAGCGAGAGAGAGAAUCCCAAGCCCACUGCAUGCUCACCAUGGAGCCCGACACGGGGCUCAAUCUCACGAACCAUGGGGAUCAUGACCUGAGCCAAAAUCAAGAGUCCAGGGCUUAAGGGAAUGAGCCACCCAGGCGCUCCUAGUUUGGCAUAAUUCUUAAAUUUGUAUAUCUUCUCUUCACCUUAUAACAAACAGAGCAAGCUGGCUUUGGUAACCUUUCUUUUCUUUUCCUGAAGGUGGUGCUACAGCUGAAGCUUGUGUUUCCUCCCUUGCGUCAAACUCUGGCUUGUUUUCUGCACAUCCUCUCUUUGUCUAUUUCGCUGCCUCUUGCUUCCACCCUGGAAAGUGCACACAGAAUGCCAGUCACGGAGUGGGAGCAAGUGUGAGUUUGGUACUUAGGGCCAGCUCGGGGAAUCCCCAGGUGAGGUUUUCCUAGCUCUUGGCCAGACUUCCUGCUGGAGCCUCGAAGGCAAUUGGCAAGACCAGUGUCACUUUAAGAUCAGUGUCUCUGAUAUUCUCAUCUCCCUCUCUCCCAAUCUCCCUUCUCGGACUCACAGAAUUCGUACGCUUAUGCUCUGGGUUGUGUGGGAGAGAAGGCCUUCUCUAGCAGUGUCCUGCACAAAUUGGGUAAGCCAGGCGCUCACUUGGUCUCCCUUUUUUUCUCAUGGGAGGAAUACCAGCUUUCUUUUUUUUCUCUAAAGUGUGCCACCUUCUGGGAGGAAUAAUGCUUGCAAAGUUCCUCCCACCCACUCCAAGGCAUCCAAACUCUUCUGGGUUGUUUUUUGUUUUUUCGCGCUGGAACUUUUCCUCCAUAAACCUGAACUUUCCUGAAGGCCCUCUUGUCUGUAAAUAUCUGCCCGAGUCUGUGUUUUCCAGGCACCACGACCAAAAGGGAUUGGAUCUGGUUCACAGGAUCCUGCUGGUUCCACUGGGGUCUAUCUGCCUAUUAUCCAGUUCACAGGUUCCGAGGCAUAUAUCUAAAGCAUGGAUUCCAUUUCUCAACCGGCUGUGACCUUGAUCCAUGACCAAGCCCCUUGAGGAGAAUUUUUUCAUAUGAACAGUAAGUAUAAGGAGCAGUUUCACUGCCUAGUGACAAGGUUCA
RNAcentral lists this long non-coding RNA (1367 nucleotides) under Lynx canadensis (Canada lynx). Its description in RNAcentral is "lncRNA (ENSLCNG00005007377.1)". The record is from RNAcentral. Lineage: Eukaryota; Metazoa; Chordata; Mammalia; Carnivora; Felidae.